UAGCAGAGUUCCCGAACAGUGUGCUUGCAUUUAAAGCUUUAUCAUCUUUCAGGUAUAUUGCUAUUUGUUCCGGGUUGAAGAUAACGGCCAGUCUCCUUUUCUUCCUUGAUUGGGUGUUGAUAUCAUGGCAACACAGGAAGGAAUUGACAGAAGGUCCAGCCAUGACUGUCGGAGAGAUUGUUUCCUCUAUCAUCUCCCUGGACAGACUCUCGGCCAUUGGUAGAAGUGACUUUGGCGGAGGAGAAGAAGUGUCUCCUAUAGAAGAAAGCUUUGACACAAGCCAGCAUGGGAAAGAUCGUGGACACAGACAUGGAUCAAAACAUCAUGUUAGUUUUGUAGGUGUACCAACAUAACAUUUUAAUUGUGAGUAUAUUUAUAAACACGAGGGCAAUGAAUCCAGUGAACAGAAUGUAAGUACAUACGCAGAGACUCAAGUCUAUAUUUAGGUAUUCAACUGUUCUUCGCGAAGGUAAAAUUAUGAAAAAGAUAGAACACUAUGAUUGACCACUUAAACUAGCAUCAUUUCUCUUAUCCUGCAUUCAUUAUGUACUUUUAAAGGUUUCUUGAUUUUUAUCAAGUGAUUUCUUGCACUGAAGGAGAAAAUCAUUUGUGUAACCAAUCAUAGUGUGGUGAAUGUUAAAGAUGUUGUGAUGAUCAACUUCACAACACGAGCCUAUAAGGUGUGUCGAGCCUAUAAGGUGUGUCAAGCCUAUAAGGUGUGUCAAGUUAAAAUGUAUUCAAAAUAAAGUUUUUAAGUAAA
Molecule: long non-coding RNA, 760 nt
Organism: Limulus polyphemus (Atlantic horseshoe crab)
Lineage: Eukaryota; Metazoa; Arthropoda; Merostomata; Xiphosura; Limulidae
Exons: 2
Source: RefSeq, a predicted model, not a curated record